Vulpes vulpes (red fox) is the source of this 109-nucleotide small nuclear RNA. The record is from Ensembl. NCBI's taxonomy places the organism in Eukaryota, Metazoa, Chordata, Mammalia, Carnivora, Canidae.
GUGUUUGCUUUGGCAGCACAUGUACUAAAAUUGGAAUGAUACAGAUAAGAUUAGCACGGCCCCUGCAUAGAGAGAUUACACCCAAAUCCAUGAAGUGUUCCAUAUAUAU